This 535-nucleotide ribosomal RNA is filed under the name Bythocrotus cf. crypticus JXZ-2013. RNAcentral's name for it is "partial 16S ribosomal RNA". The stretch from base 143 to 440 matches the Rfam family "Bacterial large subunit ribosomal RNA", at positions 2073 to 2647 of the family's 2925-position model. Lineage: Eukaryota; Metazoa; Arthropoda; Arachnida; Araneae; Salticidae. The record is from RNAcentral.
AAUUCAAUAGCCGCAACUCGUGCUAAGGUAGCAUAAUCAUUUGUCUUUUAAAUGAAGACUAGAACAAAAGAUUUAACAUUUAAAUCUAUAUAUUAAAUUUAUAAAUUCAACUUCUUUUAAAUGUAAAAAAACAUUUAUUUAUUAGAAAGACGACAAGACCCUGUUGAACUUAACUUAAGUUAAACUGGGGCAGUAAAUUAAUUAAAAUUUUAAUUAAACAUCUGUUUACAAAAAUCUUUCAUAGUUAAAUAAUCCAGUUACCACAGGGAUAACAGCGCAAUUAUAUUCCAAAGCACUUAUAGUAAAUAUAGAUUACGACCUCGAUGUUGAAUUAAUUACCUAAAUUAAGCAAAGUUAAAAAAAGGAAGUCUGUUCGACUUUUAAAUAAUUACAUGAUUUGAGUUCAGACCGGUGUAAGCCAGGUCGGCUUCUAUCUUCUAAAUACCUUCUUACAGUACGAAAGGACCUAAGAACUUAAUUAAUAUUUAUUAAUUGGCAGAAAAAUGCAUUAGAAUUAGAAUCUAAUUAAACUUAU